UGGUGUGUGGCGCAGCGGUAGCGCAGCGGACUGUUAAUCCGUUGGUCGUAGGUUCGAAUCCUACCAUACCAGCCA
This 75-nucleotide transfer RNA is filed under the name Sulfurihydrogenibium sp. RNAcentral's name for it is "tRNA-Asn". It matches the Rfam family "tRNA". Rfam says of the family: Transfer RNA (tRNA) molecules are approximately 80 nucleotides in length. Their secondary structure includes four short double-helical elements and three loops (D, anti-codon, and T loops). Further hydrogen bonds mediate the characteristic L-shaped molecular structure. tRNAs have two regions of fundamental functional importance: the anti-codon, which is responsible for specific mRNA codon recognition, and the 3' end, to which the tRNAs corresponding amino acid is attached (by aminoacyl-tRNA synthetases). tRNAs cope with the degeneracy of the genetic code in two manners: having more than one tRNA (with a specific anti-codon) for a particular amino acid; and 'wobble' base-pairing, i.e. permitting non-standard base-pairing at the 3rd anti-codon position. The record is from RNAcentral. Lineage: Bacteria; Pseudomonadati; Aquificota; Aquificia; Aquificales; Hydrogenothermaceae.